This 195-nucleotide ribosomal RNA is filed under the name uncultured bacterium. RNAcentral describes it as "partial 16S ribosomal RNA". It matches the Rfam family "Bacterial small subunit ribosomal RNA", at positions 521 to 715 of the family's 1533-position model. The record is from RNAcentral.
UAAUACGUAGGGGGCUAGCGUUGUCCGGAAUCAUUGGGCGUAAAGAGCGCGUAGGCGGCCAGAUAAGUCCGGUGUGAAAGUCACAGGCUCAACCUGUGAAUGCCGCUGGAAACUGUCUGGCUAGAGUCCGGAAGGGGCGAGUGGAAUUCCUGGUGUAGCGGUGAAAUGCGCAGAUAUCAGGAGGAACACCAAUGG